This 730-nucleotide ribosomal RNA is filed under the name uncultured Pseudomonadota bacterium. RNAcentral's name for it is "bacterial SSU rRNA". It matches the Rfam family "Bacterial small subunit ribosomal RNA", at positions 57 to 765 of the family's 1533-position model. The record is from RNAcentral. Lineage: Bacteria; Pseudomonadati; Pseudomonadota.
GCAAGUCGAGCGAGAAAGGGGACUUCGGUUCCCUGAGUACAGCGGCGCACGGGUGAGUAACGCGUGGGUAAUCAACCUUCGAGUGGGGAAUAACAGCGGGAAACUGCUGCUAAUUCCGCAUGACGUUCACAGACUUCGGUCUGUGGACCAAAGCCGGGGACCUUCGGGCCUGGCGCUUGGAGACGAGCCCGCGUCCGAUUAGUUUGUUGGUGGGGUAAUGGCCUACCAAGACUUUGAUCGGUAGCCGGCCUGAGAGGGCGGACGGCCACACUGGAACUGAGACACGGUCCAGACUCCUACGGGAGGCAGCAGUGGGGAGUUUUUCGCAAUGGGGGAAACCCUGACGAAGCAACGCCGCGUGAAGGAUGAAGGCCUUCGGGUCGUAAACUUCUGUCAACCGGGAAGAAACCGUCCAGUCGAAUAGACUGUGGCGUUGACUGUACCGGUGGAGGAAGCUCCGGCUAACUCUGUGCCAGCAGCCGCGGUAAUACAGAGGGAGCAAGCGUUGUUCGGAAUUACUGGGCGUAAAGGGCGCGUAGGCGGUCCAUCAAGUCUUGUGUGAAAUCCCCUGGCUCAACUAGGGAACUGCACGGGAAACUGGUGGACUUGAGUUCGGGAGAGGGAAGCGGAAUUCCAGGUGUAGCGGUGAAAUGCGUAGAUAUCUGGAGGAACACCGGUGGCGAAGGCGGCUUCCUGGACCGACACUGACGCUGAGGCGCGAAAGCUAGGG